This is a long non-coding RNA of Ornithorhynchus anatinus (platypus), 930 nucleotides long. RefSeq lists it as uncharacterized. The record is from RefSeq and is a predicted model, not a curated record. The transcript is spliced from 3 exons. NCBI's taxonomy places the organism in Eukaryota, Metazoa, Chordata, Mammalia, Monotremata, Ornithorhynchidae.
AGCCUCCGCUGAGCAGUCAGCGGUCGGCCCCCAGCUCCCCUCCAACCCUGCCACGCGGGCGUCCCGGGUCUCCCGGGCCACGAGCGCAGUUGCCCCCAGCCGCCUCCCCGUGCCCACGGCCAUCCCCAAGCCCAGCGGCUCAGCUCUGCUCGCUAACAGGGGAGCGCCGACCGGGAGGGGCAGCGGGCCCGCCGUCUGCCCGCCCCUUCGGAAGGGACUGCUGAGGCCCGGCACAGCCGGGCACAGAGUUCCUGCUCCCCAGCGGCCCGUCAGCUGUAGCCACUUGCAGGCCCCCAAGAAGGUGGUGAUCCCGGCGCCCAGGUAAAGAGGCUGGAACUGAGGCCCCCGAGUCACUCCAGCAUCACUCCGGCUGUGUCCUCCCUCCCCACCGCCAUUCCCUCUCCACCGUGGAGCUGCACCUCCAAGCCACCCUCCGAGCCCAGCCCAGUGCCCCAGGGAGGAGCCGCUGGUCAGCGAGGGAACGGCUACGCAGCAGGGAGGGAGGGGAUGGGAGGGGGGGAAGAGGGUGGAAAUUUUCUGGGUCCAAAUGAAGCGGCAGGUGGGGAAGUGAAGGCGAAUGGUCUAAAGCCUUUUCUGGAAUCGAGCCGCCCCGACCUCCCGGGCCCAGACUGGACCCUGUCACCCCCAACAGCCCAACAGGGACCAUUUGGGUCUCCUGGAACUUGGGGCUGAGGGAGGUGUUUUAAUGUGAUUUCUUUCCAUUGGUGCUUCCCCACCUCCGGGGCAACCCAGGAGCCGGGGAUGGGUGUCGUCCACAAGGCCUACACCCCAAACUGGCACAGACCCUCGCAAGACGGUGCCCUCCCCAGGACACUUUGCCCAGCUAAGUGCCUGACCGUGCCUGCCCUGGGACUCUUCUCAUUCUGUGACAGGCCUCCAGCCUUAAUAAAGGGCAGUGAUCCUGCUGGG